Molecule: long non-coding RNA, 1055 nt
Filed under: Junco hyemalis (dark-eyed junco)
Lineage: Eukaryota; Metazoa; Chordata; Aves; Passeriformes; Passerellidae
Description: lncRNA (ENSJHYG00000001825.1)
Source: RNAcentral
UAGAGGGAUUAAAUGUUGAGUGGGAGUGGCUUAAUGGGGUGUGGCUUUGGGGGAGUUUCCUAUUGGCCAGAAGGUUGGUGGGAGGAGCUUAAGGGGGUCAGGUUUGAAAGAGGAGGAGUUUAAAGGAGGUGUGGCUUAGAGAGAGGUUCCUAUUGGUCAGAAGAGUGGUGGGAGGAGCUUAAAGGGGUCCGGUUUGAAAGAGGAGGAGCUUAAAGUGGGAAGGGCUUAGAGGGUUGUCCCUAUUGGUCAGAAGGGUGGUGGGAGGGGCUUAAAGGUGUGGAGACGGAAAGGGGAGGGGCCUAAAGGUGUAGUGACGUAGAAGAAUGUUCUCAUUGGUGAGAAAGACGAUGGGAGGGGCUUAAAUGGGUGGGGUUUGAAAGAGGAGGAGCUUAAAGGAGGUGUGGCUUAGGGAGAGGUUCCUAUUGGCUAGAAGGGUGAUGGGAGGGGCAUAAAGACACAAAACCCCAAGUGGGUGGGGCUUAAAUAACCUAUUUAGCAAGGAGUGAUUAGGGAUUGGCUGGCAGGAAUAGUGAGGGUGUGGCUGAGCUCAGGUGGGUGUGGCUUAGCCUAGGUGGGCGUGGCCAACCCCAGGUGGGCGUGUCCGUGUCCCGCAGGUGUCGGAGGCGCUGUCGGAGCUUGGCCCCGCCCUCCAGGAGCCGCUGGCCCGGGGUCACCCCGGGGUCAUCCUGGCCCUGCUGGGGGCGGCCCUGAGGCACCCCCGGCUCCAGGGGGAGGCGCUCCGGAGCCUCUUCCAGGCUUUGCGCUGCUGGGCCCCGCCCCACCACCCCCAUUGCGUCACCGCCCUGGCCCAGCUCCGCCCCCUGGAGGGCGGGGACAGCGGCAAGGAGGCGGAGCCUGAGGUAAAGGGGGCGGGGCUUUGCUGGUGGUCUAAAGUGGGUGGGGCUUAAGAGGGUGAGGUCAUCGGGAGUGGCCUGGGAAGGGGUGGGGUUAAAUGGGUGGGGCUUGAAAGGGCGGGGCUUAAAGGGGUUGUGGUUUCCACGGGUUUUUUAAUUAUUUGUUUUUAACUUGAUUUUUUCCCCAUUUCCCCCCUUUUU